CACACGACAUCUUCAGACGCACACGCAAAGAAUGCUGGAACACUUUUUUGAUCCGACCUUCGAUUACGAAACGGUAGCAUUUUGAAUAUUUGUUUAUUAGCUACGUUUUACGUCGAAAAUCAAAAAUCCAGAAAAAUACCAAAAUUAGACAUCGGAUCAAGUCCAAAUUUUACACACAUGUCGGUGCCAACCUUAAUGUCGUUCGAUAAAAAAUUCAGAACAUUUCGCCAUUAGGGGGCGCAAUAAACGAGGAAAUUGUGUAUCUUCUACAAAAUUUCGCCGCGAAAACGCUACACUGACUUCUCGCUACUCCUACCACGGUCAAAUCCUUUGUAUCCACAGGUUCAGGGUAGCGUUUUGAACACAUGCUUCGCGUUGUGCCGGCGAAAUGCACAUUUCUUGUCGCGUUGUGCCGGCGAAAUGCACACUUCUUGGACCCCUGCAUAACUGCUUGCAGUUCUAGUUAUUAGGGGUCCAAGCCAACAGGUUGGAUCCCUAUUGUUUUUGUAAGGAUUAUUAUUCCUAUUAUUAUUAUUAUUAUUAGGGGUCCAAGCCAACAGGUUGGAUCCCUAUUGUUUUUGUAAGGAUUUUUCUUAUUAUUAUUCCUGCGCUAAAUGUGGUACCACAGCCCAAACCGUAAAUGGUGCCGACACGCCAAUUGCAUGACUUGAUCCAGGUCCGGCACCGCUACUCAGAUAACAAAAUCCAGACACGCCGGCCACUAGGUGGCGCUAUACCAAGGAAAGACGCGUUUGGGGCUAUAACUCCCACACCGAACCUCCCACAUUCAAAACCUUGUACACACAUAGGCGAAAUGCACACUUCUUGGACCCCUGCAUAACUGCUUGCAGUUCUAGUUAGGGGUCCAAGCCAACAGGUUGGAUCCCUAUUGUUUUUGUAAGGAUUUUUAUACUACCUCCCCGUGAAAGUGGAACCACAGCCCAAACCGUAAAUGGUGCACACGCGCCAAUUGCAUGACUAGAUCCAGAAUCGGCACCGCUACUCAGAUAACAAAAUCCAGACACGCCGGCCACUAGGUGGCGCUAUACCAAGGAAUACGCGUUUGGGGCUAUAACUCCCACACCGAAACUCCCACAUUCAAAAACUUGUACACACAGAUGCACUGGAGUCUGCUGCAUCUUUUGGCCUAGGCCACGCCCAUUUGCGUCUAGAAUUUUUUUUCGCAAAAUCGCGAAAACCGCAAAACCGUUUUUUCGCUACUCCUCCCACAUUUCUCGCCCGAUCAACACCAAACUUUGCACACAACAUCGUCAGACGCACACGCAAAGAAUGCAUGAGACACUUUUUUGAUGCGACCUUUGACGACGAAACGGUAGCGUUUUGAAUAUUGGUUUAUUA
RNAcentral lists this long non-coding RNA (1359 nucleotides) under Gadus morhua (Atlantic cod). RNAcentral's name for it is "lncRNA (ENSGMOG00000034594.1)". Lineage: Eukaryota; Metazoa; Chordata; Actinopteri; Gadiformes; Gadidae. The record is from RNAcentral.